RNAcentral lists this long non-coding RNA (581 nucleotides) under Heterocephalus glaber (naked mole-rat). RNAcentral describes it as "lncRNA (ENSHGLG00100047334.1)". Lineage: Eukaryota; Metazoa; Chordata; Mammalia; Rodentia; Bathyergidae. The record is from RNAcentral.
GGAGGAGAGGGCCGGUUCCUCUCCAGAAAGCUGGGUGCUAUGACAGAUGAGACUUUUAUGCAAGAAAACAAAUCCUACACCUUUGAUGUACUGCUUGAAACUUAAAGAUCUCUUUGGACAUGAAAUUGUAAGACAAAAUGACAGCCCAGGAAGUAGAAGCAGAUGCUAUUUGGAGAACUCAGGCAACUGACAUCUGAGGAGUCUGCCAACACUAGGCUGCACUCAAACUGGUAAUCCUCCUGCCUCAGCCUCCCAGGGUGAAGAGAUUACAGGCAAGUGCCACCACACCCAACUAAUAUAUGUAAGUUUUUAUCCAUUAAGUUUAUUGGUGCAUUUGAUGUAUACAAUAUGAUGACACUCAUCAUUGGGAAUUUGUACCUGUACAUGAUAUAUCUUGGUUCUAGAGGGCAGGAGAAUGGGAAAGAAAUAAUAUACAUAACUUUUAAAAGAAAUUUUCAGUUUACAGAAAAAUGGAUUUCAUUGAUUGUGUAUACAGAAAACUAUCAUAAAUACCAAUGUUACCUAGAUUUUCUCCUAUCUUAUCUUUUAGGAGUUUUAUAGUUGUGAUUUUUAAAUUUAAG